This 375-nucleotide ribosomal RNA is filed under the name Bitis caudalis (horned viper). RNAcentral describes it as "partial 12S ribosomal RNA". Lineage: Eukaryota; Metazoa; Chordata; Lepidosauria; Squamata; Viperidae. The record is from RNAcentral.
UUGUUCGCCAAACAACUACGAGUAGUAACUUAAAACUUAAAAGACUUGACGGUGCUUCAUAACCACCUAGAGGAGCCUGUCUGAUAACCGACAACCCACGUUUAACCCAACCCCCCCUUGCCAACAGUCUAUAUACCGCCGUCGCAAGCUUACCUUGUAAAAGGAAUAAAGUAAGCUGAAUAGUACCCCACUAAUACGACAGGUCGAGGUGUAACCCAUGGGGGGGCCUAGAUGGGCUACAUUCUCUCAGUAGAGAUACGGAUAUUACCAUCAACUUAGUAAUUGAAGAAGGAUUUAGAAGUAAGAUGGGAACAGAAUGCCCAACUGAACACAACGCAAUGAAGUGCGUACACACCGCCCGUCACCCCUGCCGAC